AGCAGAACUGGCGAUGCG
Molecule: small nuclear RNA, 18 nt
Filed under: Arabidopsis thaliana (thale cress)
Lineage: Eukaryota; Viridiplantae; Streptophyta; Magnoliopsida; Brassicales; Brassicaceae
Description: snRNA_10924
Source: RNAcentral